Long non-coding RNA from Entelurus aequoreus (snake pipefish), 970 nucleotides. RefSeq lists it as uncharacterized. The record is from RefSeq and is a predicted model, not a curated record. The transcript is spliced from 6 exons. Lineage: Eukaryota; Metazoa; Chordata; Actinopteri; Syngnathiformes; Syngnathidae.
CGACAAACCAAACCGGCGCGCGCCGCCUAGAGUUAUAGGCUCCGCCUACGCGCGCUGAGCCGACCAAUGUCUGCACCCGCAGACGUGGACGCGCCUACUAGCGUGUACGCGCAUGAGCCAAGAUCUCUGGACUUUCUUUGCUGGAACACGAACGUAAGUAUAGAUUUAUUGAUUUAUUGCUACAUUCGCAGUAAAUAUCAGCCUUUGUGUUUCCAUCAUCGUUUAUGUAUGAUUGUAAUGACGUUGUUUGAUAUUAGGACUAGCAGUAAAACUUUAUAUUCUGUAAAAAAAGGCUUUAUUUCCAGCGCCGCCUCCCAGAAUGCUUUGCAUGGGGACGUGCGUCUGACGUCACAUAUACAGAAAAUUCGAAAUGGCUGCACGCGGUAGGUGAGGCCCGAGCGAAGAAAAGUGGAAAAGAUUGUUAUUCGUCAAAAAACCCACACAACGACGGUCAUUUUUUCGCCGUGCUAUUGUAAAAUUGUCUUUUAUCUGUGUUUUGUGUUCCGGGGGACCCCGACUCCAGAAUGUGAAAGUUUCCCGCGUGAAGCCGUGGAGCUUGAGAUCCUGUUUACUGUGGACUAGCUGUGUGUGACGCCAUGUUGUUUUUGUUUACAUUAAAAAAAAAAGCUCCACCGUCUCGCCGAGUGCCAGCAAGAGUCAUGAGUACUUGUCAACUCGACUCCUCAACUGGAGAUAACUUUCUAGCACCUCACCAUGGGGAAGGAUGUAUUCAUAUGCCUUCACCAGCACAUGCAUUUAACAUGCAGAGAGUUACACAAGUUCUUACCACCUUGGGGCACCAUUCAGGGUGCCUUUUCAUCUGAUUAAAUUUAUAAUGAACAGGGACAUUGCGGUUGUCCCAAGUGGAUGGUAUGAUGAUAGGAUGGUUUUCUGGCCCAGCUAUAAAAACACCGACAUAAUUGAAAGGGCCGCUUUAAAUGAGGAGCAGCAUGAGCCAGACUGGCCAAGA